UACGUAGGGGGCGAGCGUUAAUCGGAAUUACUGGGCGUAAAGCGUGCGCAGGCGGUUUUGUAAGCCAGAUGUGAAAUCCCCGGGCUCAACCUGGGAAUGGCAUUUGGGACUGCAAGGCUUGAGUGCGGCAGAGGAGACUGGAAUUCCUGGUGUAGCAGUGAAAUGCGUAGAUAUCAGGAGGAAUACCGAUGGCGAAGGCAGGUCUCUGGGCUGACACUGACGCUCAUGCACGAAAGCGUGGGGAGCAAACAGG
Molecule: ribosomal RNA, 253 nt
Filed under: uncultured bacterium
Lineage: Bacteria
Description: partial 16S ribosomal RNA
Rfam family: Bacterial small subunit ribosomal RNA
Source: RNAcentral